AUGGCAGAAUUCAACCUACGCAAGAAGCUCAAGCAAUGGAUCGUGGGCUUGGCCGCGAUCGAGCGCACGCGCAAGAGGCAAGCUGCUAGAAUCACCUGGCUCCGGGCCGGAGACGCCAAAACUGCAUUCUUUCAGGCCAAGAUCAACGCGAUACGGAGGAAGAAUUUCAUCCACUCUUUGCAGACAGAUUCCUGCAUGGCAACCUCGCAUGAAGAUAAAGCAUCCAUCACCCACGAUCACUUCGUCAACCUGCUGGGCACCAAGCGGGACCACGGCUGUGCCAUAAACUGGGACGCGAUCGACCUGCCUUCCGUCAGCAACGCCGGCUUGGAUAAGCCGUUCACUGAACCGGAGGUA
Molecule: ribosomal RNA, 357 nt
Filed under: Triticum aestivum (bread wheat)
Lineage: Eukaryota; Viridiplantae; Streptophyta; Magnoliopsida; Poales; Poaceae
Description: partial small subunit ribosomal RNA
Source: RNAcentral